AGUGAACGCUGGCGGUAGGCCUAACACAUGCAAGUCGAACGGCAGCACAGAGGAGCUUGCUCCUUGGGUGGCGAGUGGCGGACGGGUGAGGAAUACAUCGGAAUCUACUCUGUCGUGGGGAUAACGUAGGGAAACUUACGCUAAUACCGCAUACGACCUACGGGUGAAAGCAGGGGAGCUUCGGACCUUGCGCGAUUGAAUGAGCCGAGGUCGGAUUAGCUAGUUGGCGGGGUAAAGGCCCACCAAGGCGACGAUCCGUAGCUGGUCUGAGAGGAUGAUCAGCCACACUGGAACUGAGACACGGUCCAGACUCCUACGGGAGGCAGCAGUGGGGAAUAUUGGACAAUGGGCGCAAGCCUGAUCCAGCCAUACCGCGUGGGUGAAGAAGGCCUUCGGGUUGUAAAGCCCUUUUGUUGGGAAAGAAAUCCAUCUGGUUAAUACCCGGGUGGGAUGACGGUACCCAAAGAAUAAGCACCGGCUAACUUCGUGCCAGCCGCCGCGGUAA
This 505-nucleotide ribosomal RNA is filed under the name uncultured bacterium. RNAcentral's name for it is "partial 16S ribosomal RNA". It matches the Rfam family "Bacterial small subunit ribosomal RNA", at positions 29 to 523 of the family's 1533-position model. The record is from RNAcentral.